UAUAUAGAGAGUUUGAUCCUGGCUCAGGAUGAACGCUGGCGGCGUGCCUAACACAUGCAAGUCGAGCGGAGCUGAUGAUUAGCUUGCUAUGAUUCAGCUUAGCGGCGGACGGGUGAGUAACGCGUGGGUAACCUGCCCUAUACAGGGGGAUAACACACCGAAAGGUGUGCUAAUACCCCAUAACACUGGAGUAUCGCAUGGUAUUUCAGUCAAAGAUUUAUCGGUAUAGGAUGGACCCGCGUCUGAUUAGCUAGUUGGUGAGGUAACGGCUCACCAAGG
RNAcentral lists this ribosomal RNA (279 nucleotides) under Anaerosolibacter carboniphilus. RNAcentral's name for it is "Bacterial small subunit ribosomal RNA". It matches the Rfam family "Bacterial small subunit ribosomal RNA", at positions 1 to 273 of the family's 1533-position model. Lineage: Bacteria; Bacillati; Bacillota; Clostridia; Peptostreptococcales; Thermotaleaceae. The record is from Rfam by way of RNAcentral.